This 515-nucleotide ribosomal RNA is filed under the name uncultured beta proteobacterium. Its description in RNAcentral is "bacterial SSU rRNA". It matches the Rfam family "Bacterial small subunit ribosomal RNA", at positions 985 to 1498 of the family's 1533-position model. The record is from RNAcentral. Lineage: Bacteria; Pseudomonadati; Pseudomonadota; Betaproteobacteria.
CAUGUUCACUAACGAAGUAGAGAUACAUUUAGGUGCCCGUAAGGGAAAGUGAACACAGGUGCUGCAUGGCUGUCGUCAGCUCGUGUCGUGAGAUGUUGGGUUAAGUCCCGCAACGAGCGCAACCCUUGUCUUUAGUUGCUACGCAAGAGCACUCUAAAGAGACUGCCGGUGACAAACCGGAGGAAGGUGGGGAUGACGUCAAGUCCUCAUGGCCCUUAUGGGUAGGGCUUCACACGUCAUACAAUGGUGCGUACAGAGGGUUGCCAACCCGCGAGGGGGAGCUAAUCUCUUAAAACGCAUCGUAGUCCGGAUCGUAGUCUGCAACUCGACUACGUGAAGCUGGAAUCGCUAGUAAUCGCGGAUCAGCAUGUCGCGGUGAAUACGUUCCCGGGUCUUGUACACACCGCCCGUCACACCAUGGGAGUGGGUUUUGCCAGAAGCAGUUAGCCUAACCGCAAGGGUGGGCGAUUGCCACCGUCAGGGUUCAUGAACUGGGGUGAAGUCGUAACAAGGUA